GAUUAGAGUUUGAUCCUGGCUCAGAAUGAACGCUGGCGGCGUGCUUAACACAUGCAAGUCGGAUGUGCCUGGCAACAGGUGCAUGGCAGACGGGUGAGUAACACGUGGGGAACCUACCUUUUAGUGGGGAAUAACGUUCCGAAAGGAAUGGUAAUACCGCAUGAGACCCUGGACUGAGAUGUUCAGGGUGAAACCUGGGGACCGAAAGGCCUGGGGCUAGGAGAGGGACCUGCGUCUGAUUAGCUAGUUGGUGGGGUAAUGGCCUACCAAGGCAAUGAUCAGUAGCCGGCCUGAGAGGGUGAUCGGCCACACUGGAACUGAGACACGGUCCAGACUCCUACGGGAGGCAGCAGUGGGGAAUUUUGCGCAAUGGGCGAGAGCCUGACGCAGCAACGCCGCGCGGGUGAUGAAGGUCUUCGGAUUGUAAAACCCUGUCGUCGGGGACGAAGGUUGCGAGUUUAAGGGAUGCGCAGCUUGACGGACCCGAAGAGCCCGG
This 496-nucleotide ribosomal RNA is filed under the name uncultured bacterium. RNAcentral describes it as "bacterial SSU rRNA". It matches the Rfam family "Bacterial small subunit ribosomal RNA", at positions 1 to 491 of the family's 1533-position model. The record is from RNAcentral.